Molecule: long non-coding RNA, 3176 nt
Filed under: Pan troglodytes (chimpanzee)
Lineage: Eukaryota; Metazoa; Chordata; Mammalia; Primates; Hominidae
Description: long non-coding RNA NONPTRT017678
Source: RNAcentral
CCGGCGGCGACCUCGGCAGGCGACAGCCCAGCAGACGGGCACCAGGUGGACGUGCCAGUCUCCAGACCCCUGUCCGGGUGCAGGGAAGGUGGGCGUUUGGACCCCUGAGGCAGAAACAGGCAACCAACUGCUGGCAGCAGCAUCAGCAGUGUCCGGGACUCCACCUCCUACAGAAGUCGUGGAUGUCUCACAUCACAUCACCAUUGCUGCAGAUGCCACAGAAUACCAUUCUGCUCAUCAUUGCUCCAAAAUUACCAUAACUCCUAGACCAGCUGCUUGAUUACAUUAUUUAAUGCAUUCAUAAAGAAGCACAUGCAGUACUGUACCACCGUUUAAAAUUUGUGAUGAAAGUACUUUAAUUUCAUUUUUAAUUUUGUAGGCAUUAAAAGCAUUAUCUGAAUCUCAAAGAAAAGUCCAAGACCUGAUGGUUUCCUGGUGAAUUCUACCAAACGUGUAAAGAAGAACUAAUACGAGCCCUUCAUAAACAUUUCCAAAAAACUGAAGAGAAGGGAACACUUCUUAACGCAUUCUAUGAGGCCAGCAUUACGCUGGUACCAAAGCCAGACAUACAUAUGACAAGAAAAGAAAACUACAGACCAAUAUUUCUUCUGAACACUGAUGCAAAAAACCUCAACAAAGUACUGGCAAACUUCAGCAGCAUAUUGAAAGGAUUAUACACUAUGACCAAGGGGAUUUAUUCCUGGAAUUCAAGGAUGGCUUAGUAUACCAAAAAAAAAAAAAAAUCAGUGUACUACACUAUACUAACAGCAUGAAGCAAAAAACUACAUGAUCAUCUCAAUUGAUGCAGAAAAAGCAUUUGACAAAACAACACCCUUUCAUGAUAAAACCACUCAACAGAUUAGGACUGGAAGGCAACUACCUCAACGUAAUAGAAGCCAUUUAUGCAAAGCCCACAUCUAACACUGCUCAGUGAUGAAAGGCUGAAAACUUUUCCUGUAAAAUCAGGAAUAAGAGGCCGGGUGCGGUGGCUCACGCCUGUAAUCCCAGCACUUCGGGAGGCCAAGGCGAGUGGAUCAGCUGAAGUUGGGAGUUCAAGACCGGCCUAAGCAACAUGGAGAAACCAUGUCUCUACUAAAAAUAGAAAACUGGCCAGGCGUGGUGGUGUACACCUGUAAUCCCAGCUACUCUGGAGGCUGCGACAGGAGAAUCGCUUGAACCCAGGAGGCAGAGGUUGUGGUGAGCCAAGAUCGCACCAUUGCACUCCAGCCUGGGCAACAAGAGCAAUACUCCAUCUGAAAAAAAAAUUAAAAUCAGGAAUAAGGCAAAAAUAUCCACUUUUGUCCCUUCUAUUAAGAUCUAGCCAGAGCAAUUAGGCAAGAAAAAUAAAAGGCAUCCAAAUGGAAAAGGGAGAAGUAAAAUUAUCUCUGUUUACAGAUUAUAUGAUCCUAUAUGAAGAAAAUCCUAAAGAUUCCACAAAAGAUCUGUUAGAACUAAUGAAUGAAUGCAGCAAAGCAGUAGGAUGCAAAGAACAAUCUGAAAAGGAAAUUAUGAAAACAAUUCCAUGUACAAUAGCAUAAAAAGAAUAAAACAAGAAUUAAGGCGGUGAAAGACUGGUACAAUGAAAGCUACAAAACAUUGCUGAAAGAAAUUAAGACACAGAUAAAUGGAGAGACAUUUUGCGUUCAUGGGCUGGAAGACUUAAUAUGGUUAAGAUGUCAGUACUACCCAAACCAAUCUACAGAUUUAAUGCAGUCCCUAUAAAAUCCCAAUGACAUUUUUUGCAGGAACAGAAAAACAUCUUAAAAUUCAUUUGGAAUCUCAAGGGACCCUGACUAGCCAAAACAGUCUGAAAAAGAACAAAGUUUAAGGACUUUCACUUCCUGAUCUCAAAAUUUUCUACACAGCUAUAGUAAGCAAUGUGGCACUGGCAUAAAGACAGACAUAGAAACCAAUGGGAUAGAAUAGCGAGCCCAGAAACAAACCCUUGCAUACAUGGCCAGAUGAUUUUUUAAUAAGGGUGCCAAGACCAUUCAGUGGGGAAAGGACAGUCUUUUUCAGCAAAUGAUGCUGGGAAUACUAGAUAUCCACACACAGAAAAAUAAAGUUUGGCCCUUACCUUACCACAGAUAGAUUCAAAAUGGAUCCAAGACCUAAAUGUAAGAUCCAAAACUAUAAAAUUCUAAGAAGAAAAUAAAGGGCAAAGCCAGGCACAGUGGCUCAUGCCUGUAAUGCCAGCACUUUGGGAGGCUGAGAAAGGAGGACUCAUCCCCCGAGGCCGGGUGUGGUGGCUCACGCCUAUAAUCCCAGCACUUUGGGAGGCCGAGGCAGGUGGAUCACGAGGUCAAGAGAUCGAGACCAUCCUGGCCAAAGUGGUGAAACCCCAUCUCUACUAAAAAUACAAAAAUUGGCUGGGUGUGGUGGCAUGCACUGGUAGUCCCAGCUACUCAGGAGGCUGAGGCAGGAGAAUCGCUUAAACCCAGGAGGUAGAUAGAGGUUGCAGUGAGCUGAGAUUGCACCACCGCACUGCAGCCUGGCAACAGCGAGACUCUGUCUCAAAAAAUAGGAGGACCUCUUGAGCCCAGGAGUUUGAAACCAACCUGGGCAACAGAGAGAGAGACCCUGUCUCUACAAUAAAUUUUAAAAUGAGCCAGGUGUGGUGCACACCUGUAGUCCCAGUUACUCAGGAGGCUGAGGUGGGAGGAUCACUUGAGUCCCGGAGUUUGAGGCUGCAGUGAGCCGUGAUUACACCACUGCACUCCAUCCUGGAUGACAGAGCAAGACCCUGUAGCAAAAAAAAAAAAGAAAAAGAAAAAUAUAGGGCAAAAGCUUCGUAACACUGAAUUUGGCAAUGAUUUCUUGGAUAUGACACCAAAGGCCCAGGCAACAAAAGAAAAGAUAAAUUGGACAUCAUGAAAAUCAAAACAUUGCUUUCAUUAAAAGACACUGUCAGCAGAAGCUGGGCAUGGUGGCUCAUGCCUGUAAUCCUAGCACUUUGGGAGGCCGAGGCUGGUGGAUCACUUGACCUCAGGAGUUGGAGACCAGCCUGGGCAACAUGGUGAAACCCCAUCUCUACAAAAAAACACAAAAAUUAGCCAGGCAUGGUGGCUCAUUCCUAUAGUCCCAGCUGCUUGCAGAGCUGAGGCAAGAGGAUCGCUUGAGCCCAGGAGGCAGAGGUUGCAGUGAGCCGAGAUUGUGCUACUGCACUCCAGCCUGGG